RNAcentral lists this ribosomal RNA (206 nucleotides) under uncultured bacterium. RNAcentral's name for it is "partial 16S ribosomal RNA". It matches the Rfam family "Bacterial small subunit ribosomal RNA", at positions 568 to 774 of the family's 1533-position model. The record is from RNAcentral.
UGCGUAGGCGGUCUUUCAAGCCAGAAGUGAAAGGCUACGGCUCAACCGUAGUAAGCUUUUGGAACUGUAAGACUUGAGUGCAGGAGAGGAGAGUAGAACUCCUAGUGUAGCGGUGAAAUGCGUAGAUAUUAGGAGGAAUACCAGUAGCGAAGGCGGCUCUCUGGACUGUAACUGACGCUGAGGCACGAAAGCAUGGGGAGCAAACA